GAUGAACGCUGCGGCGUGCCUAAUACAUGCAAGUCGAGCGAACAGAUAAGGAGCUUGCUCCUUUGACGUUAGCGGCGGACGGGUGAGUAACACGUGGAUAACCUACCUAUAAGACUGGGAUAACUUCGGGAAACCGGAGCUAAUACCGGAUAACAUAUUGAACCGCAUGGUUCAAUAGUGAAAGGCGGCUUUGCUGUCACUUAUAGAUGGAUCCGCGCCGUAUUAGCUAGUUGGUAAGGUAACGGCUUACCAAGGCAACGAUACGUAGCCGACCUGAGAGGGUGAUCGGCCACACUGGAACUGAGACACGGUCCAGACUCCUACGGGAGGCAGCAGUAGGGAAUCUUCCGCAAUGGGCGAAAGCCUGACGGAGCAACGCCGCGUGAGUGAUGAAGGUCUUCGGAUCGUAAAACUCUGUUAUCAGGGAAGAACAAAUGUGUAAGUAACUGUGCACAUCUUGACGGUACCUGAUCAGAAAGCCACGGCUAACUACGUGCCAGCAGCCGCGGUAAUACGUAGGUGGCAAGCGUUAUCCGGAAUUAUUGGGCGUAAAGCGCGCGUAGGCGGUUUUUUAAGUCUGAUGUGAAAGCCCACGGCUCAACCGUGGAGGGUCAUUGGAAACUGGAAAACUUGAGUGCAGAAGAGGAAAGUGGAAUUCCAUGUGUAGCGGUGAAAUGCGCAGAGAUAUGGAGGAACACCAGUGGCGAAGGCGACUUUCUGGUCUGUAACUGACGCUGAUGUGCGAAAGCGUGGGGAUCAAACAGGAUUAGAUACCCUGGUAGUCCACGCCGUAAACGAUGAGUGCUAAGUGUUAGGGGGUUUCCGCCCCUUAGUGCUGCAGCUAACGCAUUAAGCACUCCGCCUGGGGAGUACGACCGCAAGGUUGAAACUCAAAGGAAUUGACGGGGACCCGCACAAGCGGUGGAGCAUGUGGUUUAAUUCGAAGCAACGCGAAGAACCUUACCAAAUCUUGACAUCCUUUGACCGCUCUAGAGAUAGAGUCUUCCCCUUCGGGGGACAAAGUGACAGGUGGUGCAUGGUUGUCGUCAGCUCGUGUCGUGAGAUGUUGGGUUAAGUCCCGCAACGAGCGCAACCCUUAAGCUUAGUUGCCAUCAUUAAGUUGGGCACUCUAAGUUGACUGCCGGUGACAAACCGGAGGAAGGUGGGGAUGACGUCAAAUCAUCAUGCCCCUUAUGAUUUGGGCUACACACGUGCUACAAUGGACAAUACAAAGGGCAGCUAAACCGCG
RNAcentral lists this ribosomal RNA (1249 nucleotides) under Staphylococcus warneri. RNAcentral's name for it is "bacterial SSU rRNA". It matches the Rfam family "Bacterial small subunit ribosomal RNA", at positions 28 to 1259 of the family's 1533-position model. The record is from RNAcentral. Lineage: Bacteria; Bacillati; Bacillota; Bacilli; Caryophanales; Staphylococcaceae.